This is a long non-coding RNA of Notolabrus celidotus (New Zealand spotty), 582 nucleotides long. RefSeq lists it as uncharacterized. The transcript has 3 exons. NCBI's taxonomy places the organism in Eukaryota, Metazoa, Chordata, Actinopteri, Labriformes, Labridae. The record is from RefSeq and is a predicted model, not a curated record.
GGCACUGUUCAAGAGAAGCACAUGGGACAAUUGAAAAGCUAUCAUGCCAAGGAGCUACAAAAGAAAGACCAACUGGGGCUCAACACCCCUUGAAGAGAUGGAGAGAGCAGCAGCUGAUGUCAAGGGUGGAAAAUCCAUCAGAUCAGUGGCUAAAGACAGAAAUGUUGACAGGUCAACCCUAGCAGACUCAAGGUCAGGCCAGAAGUAACCAGGAGAUCUGAGAUGAGCAGAGGGAAGAGGAGAAGUGUUGAGCUGUCGGUCCGUGGGAGGUGAUGAGGAGUGACACGACAUGCCAGCAGCAGCAGCAGCAGCAGCAGCCCGCGAGACGACUCAGUGCUGAUGCAGGAUUUAAAUUCAUCACACAGCGAAGUGGCUCUGUCAGGGACCGCAAUGAUGACUACGACACAGCCUGCGGGUCUGACAACUGCGACUGUGAAGUGGCAGAGCUUGUGGAUGUGUGUGUGUACAGUAGCUAAUGAGAGUGUGCACAAGUGAAGUGUCUGUGGGGGGAAAAUAUAGACAUUUAAAUGUGUAUAUUUAUGUGUGUUGCAAAAUAAAGCACAGUGCAGCACUUAAAUACUG